GAUGAACGCUAGCGACAGGCCUAACACAUGCAAGUCGAGGGGCAUCGGGGCGUAGCAAUACGCUGCCGGCGACCGGCGGAUGGGUGAGUAACGCGUAUGCAACCUACCUUCAGCAGGGGGAUAGCCCGUUGAAAGACGGAUUAAUACCCCAUAACACAGGGGCUCCGCAUGGAGAUUAUUGUUAAAGGGAUGCUUCCUUCGGGGAGUAUCCGGCUGCAGAUGGGCAUGCGUUCCAUUAGGUAGUUGGUUGAGGUAACGGCUCACCAAGCCUGCGAUGGAUAGGGGAACUGAGAGGUUGGUCCCCCACACUGGUACUGAGACACGGACCAGACUCCUACGGGAGGCAGCAGUGAGGAAUCUUGGUCAAUGGACGGAAGUCUGAACCAGCCGUGUCGCGUGAAGGAGGACGGCCCUAAGGGUUGUAAACUUCUUUUGCAGCGGAAUAAAGUAUUCCACGUGAUGGGAUAUUGCAAGUACGCUGCGAAUAAGGAUCGGCUAACU
Molecule: ribosomal RNA, 501 nt
Filed under: uncultured bacterium
Lineage: Bacteria
Description: bacterial SSU rRNA
Rfam family: Bacterial small subunit ribosomal RNA
Source: RNAcentral